AGUGGCGGACGGGUGAGUAACGCGUGAGAAUCUGCCUUGGGGUCGGGGACAACCACUGGAAACGGUGGCUAAUACCGGAUAAGCCGAUUGGUGAAAGAUUUAUUGCCCGAAGAGGAGCUCGCGUCUGAUUAGCUAGUUGGUGAGGUAAGAGCUCACCAAGGCAGCGAUCAGUAGCUAGUCUGAGAGGACGAUCAGCCACACUGGGACUGAGACACGGCCCAGACUCCUACGGGAGGCAGCAGUGGGGAAUUUUCCGCAAUGGGCGAAAGCCUGACGGAGCAAGACCGCGUGAGGGAGGAAGGCUCUUGGGUUGUAAACCUCUUUUCUCAGGGAAGAAGCUCUGACGGUACCUGAGGAAUCAGCCUCGGCUAACUCCGUGCCAGCAGCCGCGGUAAUACGGAGGAGGCAAGCGUUAUCCGGAAUUAUUGGGCGUAAAGCGUCCGCAGGUGGCGAUUCAAGUCUGCUGUCAAAGCACGGGGCUUAACUCCGUAAAGGCAGUGGAAACUGAAUAGCUAGAGUGCCGUAGGGGUAGAGGGAAUUCCCGGUGUAGCGGUGAAAUGCGUAGAGAUCGGGAAGAACAUCGGUGGCGAAAGCGCUCUACUGGACGGCAACUGACACUCAGGGACGAAAGCUAGGGGAGCGAAUGGGAUUAGAUACCCC
Molecule: ribosomal RNA, 660 nt
Filed under: uncultured bacterium
Lineage: Bacteria
Description: bacterial SSU rRNA
Rfam family: Bacterial small subunit ribosomal RNA
Source: RNAcentral